This 126-nucleotide non-coding RNA is filed under the name Dasypus novemcinctus (nine-banded armadillo). Lineage: Eukaryota; Metazoa; Chordata; Mammalia; Cingulata; Dasypodidae. The record is from RNAcentral.
GUAUUGGAUGAAAGGAGAGAAGAUUAGCUUUCCCCUUGACAAGGAUGCAAGAAGCCCCCUGGCCUGCAUUACAUGCAUAGAGUUAAGGCAUUGACCCUACUUAGUAGAAACUAGCCAUCAUUUUAA